GGUGUAGCUCAGCGGUUAGAGCGCUGCGCUCAUAACGCAGAGGUCGCGGGUUCGAAUAACCCUUUAGGCCA
The sequence is a transfer RNA, 71 nucleotides long. It matches the Rfam family "tRNA", at positions 6 to 65 of the family's 71-position model. From Rfam's summary of the family: Transfer RNA (tRNA) molecules are approximately 80 nucleotides in length. Their secondary structure includes four short double-helical elements and three loops (D, anti-codon, and T loops).